AUGCACCAGAAGGCGGACAAGCAGUCUGCGGGGACACAGGCCACGCUCAAGUUCAACCCCGACGGUACGGUACGCAAUUUCACCUAUGAUCCUGCUCUUCAUAGAGAAGGAAUUUGUCGUUUAAUUGCUUCUAAUGAUUUACCAUUAGGUUUCGGUGAGUCUGAAGGUUUUGUCGAAUACAUUCCAAGUGUGCAUACUCAUAGUUUCAAAUCAGUUUCUAGACAAACUACAUCUAGGGAUAUGAAAAAAUUAUGCAAAACUAGUCUUCAGACAAUAAAAGAUGAUUUUACUACAUGCACUUUUUCAGUCUCUUUAACAUCUGAUAUCUGGAGUGGUCGGGCAAAGCAAGACUACAUUAGUGUGGUCGCUCAUUAUGUUAACAAAAAAUGGGAACUACAGAAAAGAAUUAUAGGAUUCGAAUUAAUUGACGAAGCACAUACUGGUGAAAACAUAGCUCAAGUUGUACUUAAUGUUGUGUCAGAAUUUGGUCUGACCGACAAGAUAUUUGCAGUAACUUUGGAUAAUGCUUCAUCAAAUACAACUGCAAUGGAGAGCCUCAGUCCUCUGUUUUCUGUAUAUGCUGCAUCUUUUUUAUUGCAUCAACGUUGUGCUUGCCAUAUAAUUAAUCUUAUUGCUAAAUGUGCUAUGAAGAGAUGUGAGGGAGCCAUUGAGAUUUUACGCAAUGCAAUUUCUUUUCUUGGUAACUCUAAUCAGCGAAUUAGUAGUUACCAGAGAUAUUGCAUAGCAAUAGAAAAAACUCCUCAUAAGUAUAAUCUAGACAUGCCUGUUAGAUGGAACUCUACAUAUAUGAUGCUUAAGGCAGUCAUCCGAGACGAAGUUCAAUUCUCGGGAUGGAUUAAUGCAAAUAUGGGGAGAGAAUAUAUCACUAAUGAUACUUGGGAAAUUGCUAAAGGUUUGGUCAAGUUUUUAGAAAUAUUUUAUGAGGCAACAGUUUCUUUGUUUGGGGUUUAUUAUCCCACAUCUCCUUUAAUGAUGCACACUCUUGUAGACAUUGCAUCUCACUUGAAAGCAUACGAACAUACUAAUUUAUUAAUGCCUAUGGUUUCUCGCAUGAAACUUAAAUAUUGCAAAUAUUGGGCGAAAAUUCCUAUUUUGUAUUCAUUUGCAUUUAUCUUGGAUCCUAGGGUUAAACUUGAACUGUUUGCUAGUGCACUUGUUGUACUAACUGGGGCCCUAGGGAUAGAUUAUAUUGCUUAUUCCACUGAGGUUCGUGAUAAGCUUUCUGAAGUUUAUGCUAAGUAUGAUCAAAAGUAUGCCGGAGUUCGCAUGCAACGACCUCCACCUGCACCAACCACAGGGAAAAAGAAAGGAGCAUGGAGCAAGUUGUUUGGUUCUACCACCUCUGCAACGAGCUCUUCCACAUCAGGCCCAUCGCCUGUGCUUUUGGGUGGUGGGGAGUUAGCGAAGUACCUCAACAACGAUAAAGUCAACUUCAAUGAAGAGGAAGAGGAAGACUUCGACAUAAUUCAGUGGUGGCAUGAACACAAGCUUACAUAUCCGGUGCUUUCCAUAUUAGCACGGGAUGUAUUAUCAGUACCCGUCUCAUCGACAUCAUCGGAGUCUGCUUUUAGCCUAGCUGGAAGAAUACUUGAGGAAAGAAGAACGAGUUUGACCCCGGAUAUGGUGAGAACACUCAUGGCCGUGAAAGACGGAGAACUAGCCAAAAGGAGAGCCCAACACACCGCUGAAAACAGAGAACUGAUGGCCACGUUCGAAAAUCUUGCACUCGAAGAUGAUGAAGACGAAGAGUAG
RNAcentral lists this ribosomal RNA (1773 nucleotides) under Triticum aestivum (bread wheat). RNAcentral describes it as "partial small subunit ribosomal RNA". The record is from RNAcentral. Lineage: Eukaryota; Viridiplantae; Streptophyta; Magnoliopsida; Poales; Poaceae.